AGGAGCUUGCUCCUUUGACGUUAGCGGCGGACGGGUGAGUAACACGUGGAUAACCUACCUAUAAGACUGGGAUAACUUCGGGAAACCGGAGCUAAUACCGGAUAACAUAUUGAACCGCAUGGUUCAAUAGUGAAAGGCGGCUUUGCUGUCACUUAUAGAUGGAUCCGCGCCGUAUUAGCUAGUUGGUAAGGUAACGGCUUACCAAGGCAACGAUACGUAGCCGACCUGAGAGGGUGAUCGGCCACACUGGAACUGAGACACGGUCCAGACUCCUACGGGAGGCAGCAGUAGGGAAUCUUCCGCAAUGGGCGAAAGCCUGACGGAGCAACGCCGCGUGAGUGAUGAAGGUCUUCGGAUCGUAAAACUCUGUUAUCAGGGAAGAACAAAUGUGUAAGUAACUGUGCACAUCUUGACGGUACCUGAUCAGAAAGCCACGGCUAACUACGUGCCAGCAGCCGCGGUAAUACGUAGGUGGCAAGCGUUAUCCGGAAUUAUUGGGCGUAAAGCGCGCGUAGGCGGUUUUUUAAGUCUGAUGUGAAAGCCCACGGCUCAACCGUGGAGGGUCAUUGGAAACUGGAAAACUUGAGUGCAGAAGAGGAAAGUGGAAUUCCAUGGGUAAGCGGUGA
This 626-nucleotide ribosomal RNA is filed under the name Staphylococcus warneri. RNAcentral's name for it is "bacterial SSU rRNA". It matches the Rfam family "Bacterial small subunit ribosomal RNA", at positions 74 to 684 of the family's 1533-position model. Lineage: Bacteria; Bacillati; Bacillota; Bacilli; Caryophanales; Staphylococcaceae. The record is from RNAcentral.